Long non-coding RNA from Suricata suricatta (meerkat), 724 nucleotides. RefSeq lists it as uncharacterized. NCBI's taxonomy places the organism in Eukaryota, Metazoa, Chordata, Mammalia, Carnivora, Herpestidae. The record is from RefSeq and is a predicted model, not a curated record. The transcript is spliced from 2 exons.
UUAACCAACUGAGCCACCCAGGCGCCCCAACCCUUCCUUUUCAAGGUCUUUCCAUCUUUCCUUCUUCUCCUGGAGCGCUGGACCUUGGCCCUGUGAACCAGCUCCCCACUGAGAUGCGAGUGGACUCUAGAGACUUCUGGGAAAGGCUUCCGAGUCUCUAAGAGAAAUACAGGAAGAUCUGGUCCAGACUUGGCGCUGUCAUUUCUGGAGGUCAUAGCUGAAACAGCUGCAGCCACCCAGUGGCUUCGAAGGAACUAGCUCCCAGAGAUGGAAAAGAUAUAUCCUUCAUGAUGAGGUUGUACCACAGACCAAGCCUAGAUGGACCUACCCUGCAACUCCUUUUCAUGCAAGGGACAGAUUUCUCUAUUACUUGAGCCACUGAGACUGAGUGCAUCCUAUUUAUUUUAACCACAUACACACAUUUUAACUCAAGUGUGACCUUGUGUUCCUUUUCUCAUGUGCCCGUUGACUGCCCUGCCCAGAUUAGGACAAGUGUCCCUACAGAGGCCCUUGUAUGCCCCACCCUGGCACCUCUCCCACUCUGUCUCUACCUGUUUAAUGGUCUAAAUCUUUCCCACAGUCUCUGCGCCAUUUGAGAGCGAGAGUGAGGCCUGGGUGCCCUGCUCACCUUGUCUCCCUGGUGUCUAGCACAGAAUCUGGCACUAGUACAUCACUUAAUAAAUAUUUGCUGAAUGAGUAAGUAAAUAAUGAACACAUGAAUGGA